This 191-nucleotide ribosomal RNA is filed under the name uncultured bacterium. RNAcentral's name for it is "partial 16S ribosomal RNA". It matches the Rfam family "Bacterial small subunit ribosomal RNA", at positions 1308 to 1500 of the family's 1533-position model. The record is from RNAcentral.
CAACUCGCCUGUAUGAAGUCGGAAUUGCUAGUAAUCGCGGAUCAGCAUGCCGCGGUGAAUACGUUCUCGGGCCUUGUACACACCGCCCGUCACACCAUGGGAGUCGGUAACACCCGAAGUCUGUAGCCUGACGCAAGAGGGCGCAGCCGAAGGUGGGAUUGAUGACUGGGGUGAAGUCGUAACAAGGUACC